Molecule: long non-coding RNA, 792 nt
Filed under: Rosa chinensis
Lineage: Eukaryota; Viridiplantae; Streptophyta; Magnoliopsida; Rosales; Rosaceae
Description: sRNA RchiOBHm_Chr5g0011601
Source: RNAcentral
UAUACUAUAAGAAUUCUAUUCCCAGAUUCCAAUCUCAUUCGAACACGUGACCUUAUGACCACCAAGAAUCUUAAUAGUUAAUAUUAGAGGCCAUACAUGAUUCCAAACUCUAUCUCUUUAAGCUCCAGACCUUUCUCCUUUGUUAUCUCCGCCGUCAUCGCUAUGAACUGCUUACUCAAGAACUCAUAUGCUCGCCUGGUUUUUUCUUUCACAACUCGCUCUCAAUUCACACUCUCGAUCAUUAUUCUCACCGUGAAUCUCUUCUGUUCUCUAUUCAAUACAAACCCAAUAGAUUACAUGGACACCUGCAAAAGAACCAGACAGAUUACAUCGCCAAACUCGGAGGCAGGAACCUGACUUGGAAUGACUGGUUCCUUUUCAAGUGUCUCGUCUGAUUUUCCUUGCCAGGGAGACCGCGGGGAUCACCACUGAGAUCUAUUUUGUUGAUUGCAUCCAUCGACCAACUUGUUUAGUGCUAGAUUCAUCUGGUUUAUCGCAGCUCCAGAUUCACCGACAGGCCGCCUAGCGCCCAACAGCCCAACCGCCCAGGCGCCUAGUGGCCCGCCUAGGCCGCCUCGGCGGACGCCCAACCCCAGCCCGCCCAACUCCUCCGAUUUAGCACUACUCAAGUCGGAGAGCUGCCGCCCAGCGCCUAGGCGCCGCCUAAGCGGCCUGGGCGGCCGAGUUUUAGAACACUGCCUUGUGGACCUCGGUCUAAAUACUAACUAGGUGAGUGUGUUACCAACUCACCAACAUAACCGAAGUGGCUUGCUACCUAUAAAGUGCAAUUAC